AAAGAAAGAGAGAUCGACAGAGAUUUUGGAGGCGAUUUUGUUAGAUUAAGCACUUUUUUCAUCAGAUUCUGAUCUCAGAAUGUGUACUUUCUUGUACAUGUUUCGGCUUAUAGUGAUUUUAAGAUCUCGGAAAGAGUUUUCCGAAUGUAUAAAGUUUGCGAAUUUUGGACGAGCGACUCGAAAGAUAAAUUGUUUUCAAAUUAGUUAUAUAUAUAUAUAUAUAAAUUGUUGAC
This is a long non-coding RNA of Papaver somniferum (opium poppy), 233 nucleotides long. RefSeq lists it as uncharacterized. Lineage: Eukaryota; Viridiplantae; Streptophyta; Magnoliopsida; Ranunculales; Papaveraceae. The record is from RefSeq and is a predicted model, not a curated record. The transcript is spliced from 3 exons.